Molecule: ribosomal RNA, 724 nt
Filed under: uncultured organism
Description: bacterial SSU rRNA
Rfam family: Bacterial small subunit ribosomal RNA
Source: RNAcentral
UUGAUCCUGGCUCAGAAUGAACUCUUGGCGGCGUGCCUAACACAUGCAAGUCGAGCGAGAAAGUCCCUUCGGGGAGCGAGUACAGCGGCGGACGGGUGAGUAACGCGUGGACGAUCUACCCAAUGAUUCGGGAUAACCUUGCGAAAGCGGGGCUAAUACCGAAUGGUCUGGGCAUUUUAAAAUGUGCCUGGUAAAGGUGGCCUCUGAUGUAAGCUAUCGUCUUUGGAUGGGUCCGCGUCCCAUUAGCUUGUUGGUAGGGUCAUGGCCUACCAAGGCGACGAUGGGUAGCUGGUCUGAGAGGAUGAUCAGCCACACUGGGACUGGAACACGGCCCAGACUCCUACGGGAGGCAGCAGUGGGGAAUAUUGGGCAAUGGGCGCAAAGCCUGACCCAGCAACGCCGCGUGAGGGAAGAAGGUCUUCGGAUCGUAAACCUCAGUCAGGAGGGAAGAAAUGGGUUGUCCUGAACAGGGAUGGCCUUUGACGGUACCUCCAGAGGAAGCACCGGCCAACUCCGUGCCAGCAGCCGCGGUAAUGCGGAGGGUGCAAGCGUUAUUCGGAAUCACUGGGCGUAAAGCGCACGUAGGCGGCUUUGCAAGUCAGGUGUGAAAGCCCUCGGCUCAACCGAGGAAUUGCACUUGAAACUGUAGAGCUCGAGUUCGGGAAGAGGGUGGCGGAAUUCCAGGUGUAGGAGUGAAAUCCGUAGAUAUCUGGAGGAACACCAG